Molecule: ribosomal RNA, 484 nt
Filed under: uncultured bacterium
Lineage: Bacteria
Description: partial 16S ribosomal RNA
Rfam family: Bacterial small subunit ribosomal RNA
Source: RNAcentral
AUUGAACGCUGGCGGCAUGCUUUACACAUGCAAGUCGAACGGCAGCGCGGGCUUCGGCCUGGCGGCGAGUGGCGAACGGGUGAGUAAUACAUCGGAACGUGCCCAGUAGUGGGGGAUAGCUCGGCGAAAGCCGGAUUAAUACCGCAUACGACCUGAGGGUGAAGGCGGGGGAUCUUCGGACCUCGCGCUAUUGGAGCGGCCGAUGGCGGGUUGGCUAGUUGGUGGGGUAAAGGCCUACCAAGGCGACGAUCUGUAGCUGGUCUGAGAGGACGACCAGCCACAUUGGGACUGAGACACGGCCCAGACUCCUACGGGAGGCAGCAGUGGGGAAUUUUGGACAAUGGGCGAAAGCCUGAUCCAGCAAUGCCGCGUGUGUGAUGAAGGCCUUCGGGUUGUAAAGCACUUUUGGCGGGAACGAAAAGGACUGUGCCAAUACCACGGUUCGAUGACGGUACCCGCAGAAUAAGCACCGGCUAACUACGUG